AGAGCCUCAAAAAGUCUCUCGCACAUAGAGAAAAAAGAAAAAUAAAAAAAUAAAAAAUAAAAACAAAGAGCAGAGAGUGUAAACGAGGGAGCUUCUUGAAAACCCUUGUUUGAAAUCACAUCUGUCUUUUUAGAGAUAGUUCCAAAUUUCAACCCAAUCUCGUUCCUCUCUAUCUUCUUCAUUCUUCUUGGUUGAAAAUUUUAGUAAUUUGGAUCCACUGGAGGAAGAGGAGGUAAAAUAAUUAAUGGAUCCGUUGGCGGAAGAGCAACUAGAUUAUGGAGAUGAAGAAUAUGGAAGUCAGAAAAUGCAGUAUCAAGGUGGUGGAGCAAUUUCUGCAUUAACAGAUGAGGAGUUAAUGGGAGAAGAUGAUGAGUAUGAUGAUCUAUAUAAUGAUGUUAAUGUUGGUGAGGGUUUUAUACAAAUGCAUCAAUCAGAAACACAGGUACCUUCAGGAGGUGUUGGUAAUGAUGGGCAUCCAAAGACUGAAGGAGCUGGGUCAAGGGUUUCUGAAUCAGGUCCUUCUCGUGGGGUUAACUUAAAGUUGGAUGGGAGGGGGAGUACAAAUUCUGGAUCCAGUUUCCCGCAGCAGAAUACUGGAGGUUUAAACUUUAAUAAGGGUCCAGAAGAAGGAACUGGUGAUUACUCAAAUGGGAGUGCGCCAAAAGGAAGGGGAAUGGAGAUAGUUAAGGCUCCACAAGUUGGAAAUAUGGGUUUCCAGGGAUCAGCAACAGCACCUCCAAAAUUUGGAGCUGAUCCAAAUCAGAUGCCAGUAAAAUUUUCAGGUGCAACUCCAUUGUUACCAGACCCUGGCAUUGAUGCUUUAAGAAAUGCCCAGCAGAUGCAGGUUAAUCGAGUGCCUGGGAAUGUGAACCGUCCAAUAGUUAGUGACAAUCCGAUUCGCCCAGCUGUAGACAAUGGUACUACCAUGAUUUUUGUAGGAGAUUUGCAUUGGUGGACUACUGAUGCGGAGCUUGAAGGUGUGCUAUCCCAGUAUGGAAGGGUGAAGGAAAUCAAAUUUUUUGAUGAAAGAGCUAGUGGUAAGUCCAAAGGGUAUUGUCAAGUUGAAUUCUAUGAAUCUAGUGCUGCAGCUGCUUGCAAAGAAGGGAUGCAUGGUUUUCUUUUCAAUGGGCGUGCUUGUGUUGUAGCAUUUGCUUCUCCACAAUCUUUGAAGCAGAUGGGAGCUGCUUAUCUGAACAAAGCACAAGUGCAGGCCCAGGCUCAGCCACAAGGGAGGAGGGUGCCAAGUGAUGGUGGUGGUGGGAGGGGUGCUGGUGCAAAUUUUCCUGCUGGUGCAGGAGACACAGGGGGGAGGAACUUCAACAAGGUUGGGUGGGGUCGAGGUGGCCAGGGAAUACUAAAUGGCAGAGGUCAAACAGGUGGAAUGAUGAGAGGGAGAGGUGCAAUUGGAGCAAAGAACAUGAUGGGAACGGGAGGGGUUGGACUUGGCGCCGCGAUUGGGGCAAACCCAUAUGCACAAGGUAUGGGAGGUCCUGGUUUAGGAGGUCCUGCUGGCGGGAUGAUGCAUCCUCAGAAUAUGAUGGGUGCCGGAUUCGAUCCAACUUUUAUGGGCCGAGGAGGUGGCUAUGGGGGUUUUGGAGGCCCUGCUUUCCCGGGGAUGAUGCCUCAGUAUCCAGGUAUGAAUCCAAUGGGUCUCCCUGGUGUGGCACCGCAUGUCAACCCUGCUUUCUUUGGUCGAGGAAUGUCUACAAAUGGGAUGGGAAUGAUGGGUAGCACUGGGAUGGAGGCACAUCACCCAGGAAUGUGGGGUAAUGCGGCGAUGAUGGGUGGAUAUGGAGGUGGGGAGGAACAGGGUAGAAGAACUAGAGAAUCGAGCUACGGUGGUGAUGAUGGUGCAUCUGAUUAUGGUUAUGGGGAUGCAAGUCAAGAACGAGUAGCAAAACCAACUCCAGCUCCAAGGGAGAGGGAGAGGGUACCUGAACGUGAAUUUUCCGAGAGGAGACAUCAUGAUGAGAGGGAACAAGACUGGGAUAGAUCUGAUAGGGAUCGUCGUUACAGGGAGGAAAAAGAUGGGCAUAGGGAUCAUCGACUGAGGGAGCGUGACUGGGAUAAUGAAGAAGAUUGGGAUAGAGGGCAGUCCUCUUCGAGAUCUAGGAGCAAGACUCACAUGAUGCAAGAAGAUGAUCACAGAUCUCGGUCGAGGGAUGGUGAUUAUGGGAAGAGACGACGGCUGCCGUCAGAGUGACACUAUUGUGCAUCACCAUUAUCCUUUCAUAUAGGUUUCUUGAACACCAUGUUCCAUGCCCGUGGUAUCACUCUUCUUCCGGUGGUUAUAGCUGCAUCUACCUUUGCCAUUUCUGGUCUCUUGGUCUCACAAGCAGGGCUUUCGCUUCAGGUGGAAUAAGGAUUGGAGCUGGCGAUCGUUGUUCUUAUGAUUAAGUGAGUCUGUUUUGGUUUCCUAGAAGAAGGUGAAAUUUGGUUGGGGCCUCAAUGGAUUUCUGGAAUUUUGGCUAUUUAUUGGUGCUAGGGUGUUAGCUACUUGGCCGAAUGAUGUUUUGUGAAGAAAAUCUGAUAGUACCUGUUUACUUUUUAAAAUUUGAAACUGUUGUGUACUCUGUUGAAAACCAUGUCUACUAGAAUAGAGUCGAAAACCACUCAACUAUAAAUUGUUUGAGGCUUGUUGUAUCUAGGCUGUGCUCGCUUUUGCUUGACCAUCAGUCUGUAAAGCUCUAAAAUGUUUCUUUUGUAACAGCCUGAUUUACCAUAGAUGUAGCGCAGUGAUGUCUCCUGAUGUACAUGUGAGCUUGUAAAGCCUUUGCUGUUUUUGUCACACAGAGGGUUGUAUCAGUUUUUAUGUGUUGAUGAAUCUAGUCAUGCUAGUUUUGCAUUAUAAUUUUUCUUUUUUUUUCUCUCUCUUGUAUCAGCUCACUUCCCUAUAAGAGGAGAA
RNA transcript from Papaver somniferum (opium poppy), 2905 nucleotides. It is a transcript of the gene named cleavage and polyadenylation specificity factor subunit CG7185-like, with no coding region annotated. Lineage: Eukaryota; Viridiplantae; Streptophyta; Magnoliopsida; Ranunculales; Papaveraceae. The record is from RefSeq and is a predicted model, not a curated record. The transcript is spliced from 3 exons.